CUUGGUCAUUUAGAGGAAGUAAAAGUCGUAACAAAGUUUCCGUAGGUGAACCUGCGGAAGGAUCAUUAGUGAUUGCCUUUAUAGGCUUAUAACUAUAUCCACUUACACCUGUGAACUGUUCUACUACUUGACGCAAGUCGAGUAUUUUUACAAACAAUGUGUAAUGAACGUCGUUUUAUUAUAACAAAAUAAAACUUUCAACAACGGAUCUCUUGGCUCUCGCAUCGAUGAAGAACGCAGCGAAUUGCGAUAAGUAAUGUGAAUUGCUGAAUUCAGUGAAUCAUCGAAUCUUUGAACGCAGCUUGCGCUCUCUGGUAUUCCGGAGAGCAUGCCUGUCUCAGUGUCAUGAAAUCUCAACCACUAGGGUUUCCUAAUGGAUUGGAUUUGGGCGUCUGCGAUUUCUGAUCGCUCGCCUUAAAAGAGUUAGCAAGUUUGACAUUAAUGUCUGGUGUAAUAAGUUUCACUGGGUCCAUUGUGUUGAAGCGUGCUUCUAAUCGUCCGCAAGGACAAUUACUUUGACUCUGGCCUGAAAUCAGGUAGGACUACCCGCUGAACUUAAGCAUAUCAAUAAGCGGAGGAAAUCAC
This 585-nucleotide ribosomal RNA is filed under the name uncultured Trichosporon. RNAcentral's name for it is "partial 18S ribosomal RNA". The stretch from base 193 to 346 matches the Rfam family "5.8S ribosomal RNA". The record is from RNAcentral. Lineage: Eukaryota; Fungi; Basidiomycota; Tremellomycetes.